AUGGCAGCAGCACGACACGCACCGGGCCCGCAGGGCCACGCGAGCACGCGGUCCACCACCGCCCAGGCGGCCACCCUCUCCCCGGCUGACCUGGACACCGGCCCUCUCUGCCCUCGCACAGGGGUCCUGGGCCCCCAGUCCAAACCCCGCAAACUCCCUUACCCUCUGCCUCCCAUCCCCCGCACGCUGACAGGUGCGGGGCUGGGAGCUCCGGUCGGAAGGACCCUCUGCGUGUCUGGACAAGGAACCUCAGCCCUUUUAUUCCCUCCGACUCACCACCGGGUUAGGGGGAGGAUUCGAGGAGACAAGCGGGGUCGGGGGCAGCAAAUCAGAGCCCCGUCCCCUCGUCCCCUCGGAGCCCGCAGAAGCUGCCAGCGCCUCCUACAAAGCAGACGGCGCGCUCAUCCACACGGGGCGCUGCGGCCUGGCUUCCCGGAGGACGCGGCGUGCAGAUCCGUGUGUACCCGGUUCCGCCCGUGCAAGCAGGAGUCACACCAGCCGCUCCAACCACAAUCGACGACGCGGGAUGUUCCCGGUGUUCCCUAUCUAUUGCCCCCUUCGGCAGAGCGGGGACCUGCCCCCCACCCCCCCCACCCCGUUACCCUUCAGGGAGGGACCACCUCCCGCAGCCCCCACUGCCCUGCCGGCAGAUGUCCUCCUCUCCUUGCUUGGGUGGCCACAUCAUGCCUGGAUGGAACGCCAGAGCCCUCGCUCAGACCCUGGUCCUCACCCCGCGCAGGCUCCAGCACCCCACUCUGGCCCCGCCCUCCCCGCACCCACCGCCCCUUCCCCAUCCCCUGGCAGCAGCCCACCCCCACCUCCAGGCUGCCUCCCACCUCGCUUGGCCCCGUCUCCGUCUCGCGGCUUCACGCCCACUGUCCGCACGGACCAUCCGAACUUCUGGGCAGUUCCAAACUACCCCGGCCUACCUCCUGCCUCGGAAAACGGCACAAAAGCCCUGGGUCGGUGUGUGUCAGGCCACCACGACAGAGCAUCACAGAUUGA
RNAcentral lists this long non-coding RNA (1005 nucleotides) under Felis catus (domestic cat). RNAcentral describes it as "lncRNA (ENSFCAG00000047828.1)". The record is from RNAcentral. Lineage: Eukaryota; Metazoa; Chordata; Mammalia; Carnivora; Felidae.